Molecule: ribosomal RNA, 496 nt
Filed under: uncultured bacterium
Lineage: Bacteria
Description: partial 16S ribosomal RNA
Rfam family: Bacterial small subunit ribosomal RNA
Source: RNAcentral
GAUGAACGCUGGCGGCGUGCCUAAUACAUGCAAGUCGAGCGAACAGACGAGGAGCUUGCUCCUCUGACGUUAGCGGCGGACGGGUGAGUAACACGUGGAUAACCUACCUAUAAGACUGGGAUAACUUCGGGAAACCGGAGCUAAUACCGGAUAAUAUAUUGAACCGCAUGGUUCAAUAGUGAAAGACGGUUUUGCUGUCACUUAUAGAUGGAUCCGCGCCGCAUUAGCUAGUUGGUAAGGUAACGGCUUACCAAGGCAACGAUGCGUAGCCGACCUGAGAGGGUGAUCGGCCACACUGGAACUGAGACACGGUCCAGACUCCUACGGGAGGCAGCAGUAGGGAAUCUUCCGCAAUGGGCGAAAGCCUGACGGAGCAACGCUGCGUGAGUGAUGAAGGUCUUCGGAUCGUAAAACUCUGUUAUUAGGGAAGAACAAAUGUGUAAGUAACUAUGCACGUCUUGACGGUACCUAAUCAGAAAGCCACGGCUAACUACGU